RNAcentral lists this ribosomal RNA (702 nucleotides) under uncultured bacterium. Its description in RNAcentral is "bacterial SSU rRNA". It matches the Rfam family "Bacterial small subunit ribosomal RNA", at positions 134 to 852 of the family's 1533-position model. The record is from RNAcentral.
CAGAGGGGGAUAACGUUUGGAAACGAACGCUAAUACCGCAUGAUAUUAUUGAGCCGCAUGGCUUGAUAAUCAAAGGAGCAAUCCGCUGAAAGAUGGGCUCGCGUCCGAUUAGGUAGUUGGCGGGGCAACGGCCCACCAAGCCGACGAUCGGUAGCCGGACUGAGAGGUUGAACGGCCACAUUGGGACUGAGACACGGCCCAGACUCCUACGGGAGGCAGCAGUGAGGGAUAUUGGUCAAUGGGGGAAACCCUGAACCAGCAACGCCGCGUGAGGGAAGACGGUUUUCGGAUUGUAAACCUCUGUCCUCUGUGAAGAUGAUGACGGUAGCAGAGGAGGAAGCUCCGGCUAACUACGUGCCAGCAGCCGCGGUAAUACGUAGGGAGCAAGCGUUGUCCGGAUUUACUGGGUGUAAAGGGUGCGUAGGCGGCUUUGCAAGUCAGAAGUGAAAUCCAUGGGCUUAACCCAUGAACUGCUUUUGAAACUGCAGAGCUUGAGUGGAGUAGAGGUAGGCGGAAUUCCCGGUGUAGCGGUGAAAUGCGUAGAGAUCGGGAGGAACACCAGUGGCGAAGGCGGCCUGCUGGGCUCUAACUGACGCUGAGGCACGAAAGCGUGGGUAGCAAACAGGAUUAGAUACCCUGGUAGUCCACGCUGUAAACGAUGAUUACUAGGUGUGGGUGGACUGACCCCAUCCGUGCCGGAGU